GGAUUAGAUACCCUGGUAGUCCACGCCGUAAACGAUGUCUACUAGCCGUUGGGGGACUUGAUCUUUUAGUGGCGCAGCUAACGCGAUAAGUAGACCGCCUGGGGAGUACGGCCGCAAGGUUAAAACUCAAAUGAAUUGACGGGGGCCCGCACAAGCGGUGGAGCAUGUGGUUUAAUUCGAAGCAACGCGAAGAACCUUACCAACUCUUGACAUCCAGAGAACUUGCUAGAGAUAGCUUGGUGCCUUCGGGAACUCUGAGACAGGUGCUGCAUGGCUGUCGUCAGCUCGUGCCG
RNAcentral lists this ribosomal RNA (293 nucleotides) under uncultured bacterium. RNAcentral's name for it is "partial 16S ribosomal RNA". It matches the Rfam family "Bacterial small subunit ribosomal RNA", at positions 775 to 1067 of the family's 1533-position model. The record is from RNAcentral.